CUGUAAGAGGUGUGAACAAACAGGAUAUAACAGAUGACAUUAGCCUUCAAACAGCUUUUUGUUAAGUUUUGACCACUUGCUACUGACAUCUAAAAUGACAUGCAUGAUGUACGUGACACAAAUUGGAUUAUUAUUUUGUUUUGUGGUGACUUCAAAAGCACUGGGCAACUGCAAGGGAAAGUGUGAAGAUAUUCAACUAUCCACAAUCAGAACUCCUCUGAAAUCUGAAGUCUUGCUGCCUUGUUACUUUGAAACAAGCAAUAACACCGCUAAUAAAACAAACAAAGCGAGUUGGAGACACUUAUCAUCAAGUCUCCUAGAGAUCACACAAGAUGGGAAUAUCAUCUUUAAUUAUCCUAGAGGAGGACGGGUGACUGUUUUCCCCAUCCUAGCUGCAGUAGGAAACUUCUCCAUAAUUAUUCAUAAUGUACAGGCCUCAGAUUUUGGCUCAUACUGCUGUGAGCUCAACCGGGAAUGCCGGCGACUGAAUAUCACAGAAACAACCCGUCCAGAGAAAAAUAAUGUUUUAAACCCCUGGAUAUACUUUGCGGCUGGAGCUGGAUUAUUUAUUCUGCUUUUUAUUAUAGCCUGCUUGUUUUUAAAAUUCUGUGG
This is a long non-coding RNA of Paramisgurnus dabryanus, 612 nucleotides long. RefSeq lists it as uncharacterized. NCBI's taxonomy places the organism in Eukaryota, Metazoa, Chordata, Actinopteri, Cypriniformes, Cobitidae. The record is from RefSeq and is a predicted model, not a curated record.